CUAUCUCUAGCGCAUCCUUGUUUGUGGCUGCGUGAGCGUGUGCGCGCAGAGAAACGCAGAUAAGGCUCAGGUGGACUGCUAUUGCCUCCCCUCUGCAUCCAACUCCUGUUUAGGCGGGGGCAUCGGCCACCACAUCCCCAUUCCUCUCUUCAUGCCGUGUCGGGCCACUCGCACAUCAUUGCCAUCGCGUAUCGUUGUGGCCUCUUGUUUUCUAGCCACAAAUCUCUCUCCGCCUCCACUGGCCAGUUCGGCAGUGAUCGAGAAGAGGAGGAGGUGGGCGACUUUGCGCUGCUGCGCGCUCUGAGGAACGCCGCCACUGCCUGCCACCCGCGCGUCCUUCCCACAUCUUCGAGGGAACAGUUUAGGCAGACUGCGACGUGACGCCGGCAGCCCGUAAUGCGCUACUCGCACUCCCGCACCCUCCUUGACGUGGAGCGGCAGCAGCGGGACGGCCGCCACGGGUGGCAGGCGCGCAUGUGGCACCUAACGUGGCUCACCGUGGUGUUUCUCAGCUUCUACAUUGUCUGCACGUACAACGUGUGGCGGUACCCGCGGCCGGUGCGUCAUGUGUGGAUCGACAGUGUGCUCGUGGAGGUGGUGGAGGACGACUGGGUGGAGAGGGCACGACCCUGGCUGCUCUACGGCAGCGUCGGCUGCGGUGCCCUCCGCGCCCUCCUACACUGCGUCUUAUGCCCCGCUGCGAGCGCAGCGCCGGCCGGCAACACUGGGGCCACGGCAACUGCCCGCGAGAGAACGCGAGGUGGCCGAACGAGGGCCGGCACCGCUACCGCCCACAACGCAAGUCAGCCAUCACUCAUGAAGGAGAUCAGCACGAUUGCGGUGCCGGCAUGGGCUCGGCGCCGAUCCGAUGGAAACCUGCCACGCGGCACUCGCGGCGCUGUGCCGGCGGAUGCGACAGCUGCCGCCGCCGCCUUGGCCCGGCAGAAGAGCAUAUUUGACCCAACGCGGCCCAUGCGCACCGAGAAGGACCUCGAGUGGUUCCUGGCGUGCGAGAACGCACAGCAGCAGCAGCGGCGCUCCGCGGAAGCUGCGCUCUCCGGUGCAGUUGCGCUUCGCUACCGCGAUAGAGGUGGCGCUGCUGCGGCGGGUGGCGGUGGCGUGGAUAGCGGUCCAGUGGACGCUGCCGAGCGCGAUGUCAUCUCGGUACUGUAUGAAAACAAGCCUUUGCAUCAGCGCGGCCGCAGCGGCACUGCAGCACCCGCCGCCUUCGGCGCGCACACCUCCUCGCCCUCGUCGUCGUCGUUGUCCAUUCCCUGGGCCGAGCUCGGGAUCUUCCACCUCGAGGAGACCCUCCAGCGCACACGGGAGUGGAUGAGUGAUGUGUGUCGCCGCCUGGUGGCCGACGUGGAGCAGUGCGACCGCUGGUUCAACGAGCAUCAGAUCGAGGCGUACGACUGCCACCACUCCCUGCAGGAGCUUGCACCGGUGCCGCCAUCGCAUCCGCAGCCGGCAGCGAUGACCUCGGCGUCCACAAUGCGCUGGGGUCCCCCGGCACCGGUACCCUCCGUAGCCGCCGCUCCUCAGCACGAAACCAAGUUGGUCUCCCUCUUAAGGGAGAAGGGGCACUGCCGUCAGACGCAGCAGGGGAUGCAGGAUCUGGAUAUGGCGCUGCGGUACGAUCAGCGCCUCACGCUAGAAGCGCGUCUCGACGUCAGCGGAACCUUCCCCUCCUCGUCUGCGUCGCGACCCUCGAAUGCCGAGCUGACGGCCUGCCGCGAGUACGUGCUGCAGCGUUUGCGGACGUUCGCCAAGCAACGCUACCUUAUCUCAUACAACAGUAGCGGUGGUGAUGUGGAGACGUGGCGCAGCGGCUUCCCCUGCGACGCCCAUCUCCUCCUGCACGUACUGCGUACGUCGGUGAAGGGGCUGAAGGAAUACGUGCUGUUCGGCUACCAGACAGGGCUGCAGACGCAGGACCUCGCGCUCUACGUUGGCGACACCGGCGAACCGUACUUCUACGUACGCUUCCGCCAGGGCAGCAACGAGACGCUCUUGUCCACCCGACAAGGCCCAACGUCGCUCAUGGAAGCCAUACUAGCAUUUGCCGCGGUGGUGCACGUCUAUUAUCACGACGUGUACGGCGGGGUGCGCAGCACGGUGGACCUGAACGAGGUGGGGCUGCUGAAGGUGGUGACGGAGGGUCGUCGUGCCGCCUGGGCCAGCACCGGAGGAGAGUCGUGACGACGCGCGUGACGAGCGUGGCCGUGCAUGUGGACUCUUGUGGUGCGUCCUCUCUGCCCUUGUCGCGCACGCCUUCACACCGCCCGUUCAACUACACUCGCAGCCUCCCCCCCAACCCUUCCGUUAGUGUCGAUACGCCGACGCCCUCCUCCUUCCAGAGCGCACACACGCACCGGUGGACUCUUCCGGUGCACAGAUGUCAGAGGCAUCCGGACGACGGCGACGAGCGUGAGCCGCACACACAUGAGCACCCUCCAACCACAGCAGCUCUGCACGGCUUAGAAUCUACAUAUAAAAACUGAAGCGGAAAGCAGCGGGCUGGGGGGGGGAACUGCAACGGCGGCGGCGAUGCGCCAAUCGGAAGGCGAGCGCGAGGAAGUCAGGGGAGAAGACCACGAAAAAGGGAGACAUAACGCUCCCCGAACCGCCCGCUGCCCACCGUCGCCUCUUGCCUUUCCGCUCCUCAGCCCUUGAAUUCGUCUUUCUCCCUCGGUACCUCUGCGUGUGCAUCAUGCCAUGUACUCGCAGAAGAUAAGCAGUCUGACAAAGACGAACUGGAAGACCCGCGCUCAGCUAAGAAAGGAGGAGGGGGUGGUGGUGGUAUCGUUAGUGUGACUUGCCACCACCACCAUCACCGCCCACCCAGCCACCACCACCACCACCUCCUCCAUCCCUUUCCCAGAUUCUCCGCGCGUGUAUACGGUUCAACACACGUCGAACAACCCCUCCCCCUUCCCCCACCAGGCGACUCUUGCUCUCCCUCUCUCUUCCUCUCUGGCGGCUUUUCUGCGCCUGCGUCUGACUACUCCGUCUCUUCACCCGCCACCGCCACCGCACAUCCUGCGUUGCUCGGCUCUCUCCUCCGUCCUUUUUUCCUCGCUUACCGACGAC
Molecule: unclassified non-coding RNA, 3093 nt
Filed under: Leishmania donovani
Lineage: Eukaryota; Euglenozoa; Kinetoplastea; Trypanosomatida; Trypanosomatidae
Description: gene:LdHU3.06.0150(CDS-product:hypothetical_prote in_conserved)
Source: RNAcentral